RNAcentral lists this long non-coding RNA (23038 nucleotides) under Gossypium barbadense (sea-island cotton). Its description in RNAcentral is "long non-coding RNA (GBAR_LNC016786)". Lineage: Eukaryota; Viridiplantae; Streptophyta; Magnoliopsida; Malvales; Malvaceae. The record is from RNAcentral.
AUGCACUCAAUGCUGGCGGCUGUUGGCUUGUAUUUCUCUCUAACAAUUUAAAUCACCAGCUUGCUUCAUCCAUCUAUAAAUAAGGGUCUUCUUCAGUUUCAUAAAUGCAUAGAAAAUUAACAAGCUCAAAUUCCUUCUUUUCAUAUUCAUCUCUUUCAUUUUGAAUUGCAACUUUAUCCUGCCUAAAUUCCUCAACAAUGAACCACCCAUCAGGACAGCCUCAAAAUGAACUUCCUUGGUCCGCCGGAUUCUGAGAUUGUUGCUCUGACCUGAAAACUUGUAACCCUUUCUUCUUUCUUCAAUAUCAGUUGUGUCUUUUUAAUUAUAUGAAUUAGUUUAUCAAUUAAAUAUAUGGACAUUUCAGGUUGCAUUUCAUACUGGUGCCCAUGCAUCACCUUUGGCCAGAUUGCUGAGAUUGUUGAUAAAGGGUCGACUUGUAAGUUAUUAAUUUCUAAAUUGAAAUCUUAUCAUCUUAGGUUUGCAGACAUAUAUAUAUAUUUAAAGAGAUAUUAUGUAAUUAAUAAUAAUGUUGAAAAACACUGUUGGAUGGUGCAGCAUGUGGGGCAAGUGGGGCACUAUACACAUUAAUAAUGUUCAUCACCGGGUGUGGGUGCUUAUAUUCUUGCUGCUACCGAUCCAAACUGAGAAAGCAGUAUAACUUGAAAGGAGGCGAUUGUGGCGAUUGCAUGCGUCAUUUCUGCUGCGAGCCUUGUGCCUUGACACAAGAGUAUCGUGAGCUCCAGAACCGUGGAUUCGACAUGUCUAUCGGUAUGUCUACAUACCAAUAUUAUACCCCUUUUAAUUAUUCUUAAUAUAACUUCAAGUAUAUUAAUUGAGUAGCUGUAAACAAAUAUCUCCGAAUAAAUAUGUUGGUAAUGAUGAGAUAAAUUAUUGUUUGAGGUCAUUAAUUUUGUGGGGGUAUAUUUAUAUAUGCAGGUUGGCAUGCAAAUGUGGAGAAGAACCCAGGGCUGGCAAUGGCUCCAGCGGUAGAAAAAGGCAUGAGCAAAUAGAUGAUGAUGAUGAUGAGACCACUGCAUUAAUAUCAUCUUUACAUGUAACACUUAAUUCCUUGGCUUUCCAUAAUUGGUUGAUUGUACGGCUUGCCAAUUGAAUUUCAAGUUAUGUAUGUUUGUGAUUGUCAAAUAUAUUAAUAAAAAGUGUUACUAUUCAUGUUAGAUCUUCAUGAAUAAGAAUGAGAAUCGAAAAUAACUUGUAAUAUUGUGUGUGCAUGUUUGGUAUUUAGGUGAAAUACUUAGAAAGAGAGGUUGGAUUAAAUUAAUUUUUUAUUAUCAAAAUGGAUGAUUUUAAUUUUUAUAUUAAUAAAAAGAAUUAAAUAAAAUUAAUAUUUAUUGUUUUAGAAAAUGACAUCAAAUUAUUGUUUUUUAUAGUUCAAUCCAAAUAAAAUAUCUACAAAAUCAUUAAAAACUUUUAAAAUGUGACUUUGUUAAAUAGUAAAUAGCAUUUUUUUAAAAGGGUUCAUAUAUAUCGUGAUACCUAAAGUUGGCAACUUCUACUUAGUAUCUAAAUCGGUACAUAAACUUGAAAAUUGUAAGUCAACUUCGUAUUUUUAUAAGUAUGAUGAUGUUGGUGUAGUGUGAGGAAGAAGACUUGAAUGGGUUUGAUUAUUUUUAAUAAUACAGGAAUUUACAUAUUAUAAGUAAAUAGACACUCACAUUCUUUAUGUAUUAUAAGGAAGAAGACUAAGUCGAUCUACUUUGUAAUCUCAUCAAUCUUAAUUUUCUCAAUUGUUAAGGGAGUUCAAAUGAAAUACAAAAUUUUGGUAAAAAAAAGUAUCCAAUUUUGUGAAUAAAAAAUAUAUGGUAAAAAAGAUUUGGUAUCGAUACUUCGGCGCGGGUAUCAAUACUCGAUACAUUGCUUUUGGUUGGAAAGUAGUGUCUGGAACGGCCAUGGGAUGUGUUGUUUUCCAAACCGGUAAGGCGAAAAGGUUUGUGAAUUUGGUUGAAGACCAACAUGAGAAGAGGCGAAGAAGAAAACCAAAAUAUAGCAAUCGCAUCAAUGGAUGAAGAAGGAUCUAGUUGGUGCAAAUGAAGUUAAAGCAUUUGUGCUGUGUCUUCAUAAUUUCUUGUUUAGUAGUCUGUCAGAAAGUUUUUCCUAUGGUGAAAAGUUGCAUUGGUAUGUGUCUGUCUUUAUGAUUGUACCAAUUCCUCUGUAUUUCAUUGCAUUUCGUACUAUUUGUAAGGGUUUAGUUCGAGUGUAACAUCUUGUAUGGUGCAACUAUGUAUGUCUUCUUUCUUGAUUAUUGAAAUUAUAAUCAAAAUUAAUACAUGUUCUUUUUAUUAGCUUAAGGGCGUAAAAACACUUCAAAAUUUUCAAAAAAUAAAAUAAAAUUUUAAGUCCCUCUUUUUUUUACACUCAAUUGAAAUUUUUAAAAUGUAUCAAAAAUAUCUUUACAGUUCUUCAAAAAAAAAAACAAUUAAACCCCUAUUUUUUUUCCGCUCAAUUGGGUACUUGAACUUUCAUAAUGCAUCAAAAAUGCCUUAAAUUUUUUUCAAAAAAGCAAUUAAGCCCCUACUCUUAUUAAAAAUUAGAAAAAAAUCAUAAAAAUAAUAAAUUUUAGAAAAAAUUAUUAAAUUUUAAUAAAAAUUUAAAAUUUUAUUAAAAAUUAGAAUUUUUUUUUAGAAAAAUCGUCAAAAAAUAAAAAAUUAUAAAAUCCAUCAAAAAGUUUUAACAAUUAACUUUAACUAUUGAUCGUUAAAGUUAACGACCUCUAGUUUUUUCAAUUAAAGUCAUUAUGUGUCGCAACUCAACGUGACAUGUAGCGAAAAUAGAUAAAAAAGUAAAAAUCAAUAAAAGUUAUAGAAAAAUUAUAAAAUAUUUCUUUUGGUAGAAUAAUUUUUAUAAAUUUUUUUUACAAAAUUUAUAUUUCUUUACAUUUUGUAUAAUUUUCUUAUAACUUUAUAAAAUUUUAUAAAUUUUUAUAUUUCUAUAUAUUUUAAAAUUUUUUAAAAUUUUUAUAAAAUUUUACAAUUUUUAUAUAUUUUUAAUAAAUUUUUAAUAUUUGAUUUUUUAUUAAAAUUUAAUAAUAUUAUAGAUUUUAUUGAUUUUAAUUUUUUAUCUAAUUUUUAAUAAAAUUAGGGGGUUAAUUGCUUUUUUUUUAAGUUUGAGGGUCUUUUUGAUGCAUUUUGAAAGUUCAAGUACCCAAUUGACUGCAAAACAAAAAGAAAAAAAGUAGGGGCUUAAUUGCUUUUUUUGAAAAUGUUUGAGGGCUUUUUUGAUGUAUUUUGAAAGUUCAAGUACCCAAAUGAGUGCAUAAAAAGAACAGGGGUUUAGUUGCUAUUUUGAAAAAGUUUGAGGGCUUUUUGCACCUUUAAACCUCUUUUCUUUUUCUAAAUUUAAUUUAGAACCAACUUUGUGUAAAGACUUGGGAAAUUUAAUUAGCAAAAUUUCUUUCCAUGUAAAAAUUUCCCCUAUUUCUUGUUUGAAUUUAAAGCAAUACAAUAUUUUUCUAGCAAAUAAUAGAAAAUGACAGUCAAUUAAUUCCAGCAAUACAACAUUUCCAGUCUGGUGGAAAACAGCUAGGGACCAAAUUUUUAAAGUGUUGUUUACUACACACUUAGGGACCAUAUAUGUAUAUAUAUAUAUUCCAGUCUGGGUCUUUGUCGUGUUUUGUUGGUUGGCUAUGGCCUUCUUGUUGUUUCAUGGCCACUGCCCGUGAAUUAAGUCAUAUGUGGCCUUGUUUGCUAGACCUUAGUUGCUAAGUUAAAGGGAGUGAAUAGAGCACCAUAUUUCUUCUUCUGCGUGGAAAAUAAGUUGGCAUUAUGCCAAAUUCCACAUUCAUACAUAGAAAGGAAGCAAGGCCAAGUCAUUAUACUUUGUAAUCUCAUCAAUUCUAAUUAUUUCACUUCUUCAUUCUUUAGGGAGUUCAAGUGAAAUACAAAUUUUUCCACAUCCAAUCUCAUAAAUAAUCCGUCUUUGAACUUUCACAAAAAAAUAUUAAAUACCCAUUCACUUUAAUUCUACUAUUCUUAAAUCAUUCAAGUUUUGUGGAAAAUAUGCUUCUUGGAUAAAAUUAUUCAACACACAUGCCUUGAAUUUUAUGCAAUAAAAUAAAUCAAUAUAGGCCACACAUGCUUUGAAUAUUUAAGUAGUCCACAAUUUUGUUCGUUUGUGUGCAAAAUUCUACAUUGCUUGACAGCCAUACAUUCUAAGUAAAUAGACACCCACAUUGUUUACGUAUUAUGAAGAAGAAGACUAAGUCAGUCUACUUUGUAAUCUCAUCAAUCUUAAUUUUCUCAGUUAUUUAGGGAGUUCAAAUGAAAUACAAAAUUUUGGGAAAAAAAAUGUAUCCAAUUUUGUGAAUGAAAAAUAUAUGGUAAAAAGGAUUUGGUAUGGAUACUUCGGCUCGGGUAUCAAUACUCAGGGUAAGUUUAUCGAUACAUUGCUUUUGGUUGGAAAGUGGUGUUGAUAGGUGAUGACUAAAAUUUGAUAAAUUUGAAAAGUACAUGAAAUUUAACGAUUAUUGUUUGGUGAUGACUAAAAUUUUAAAAUUUGAAAAGUACAUGAACUAAAAAUGACCAAAUUAAAGUAUAAAGAUUAAGUCCACAACUUUUGCAAAGUACAAGGACUAAUAGCAGAAAUUAACCUAAAUUUCAUAUGGGUCAAUUACAAAAAUAAUCACUAAACUAUUCCUUUGGUUCUAUUCUAGUCACUCAACUAUAGAGGUGCUCAUGGGCUGAGCCAGGUCAAGCCUAAGUAUGAUAUUAAUGUAUUUUAUACUUGCUCAAGCUUGGCUCGGCCUGAAAUAUGAGCUUAAAAUUUUGCCUGAACUCAUCCAUAUUUGCAAAAGACUAACCCAAGCUCAUUUUAAGCAUGCCUAUAUAAUUUUUAAUUUUUUUUAAAUAUUUAUAUUAUAUUAUAUUAAUUAAUAAUUUAAACAUUUUUUAUUUAUUAAAAUUUUUUAUAGUCAUUUUAACAUUAUUUUAAUGUUUACAUUAUAGUAUUAUUAUAUAUUUAGUAUAAGUAUUUUUUUAAUAUGUUCUAAUUUAUAUAAUAUAAAGUAUUAUACACUUAAAAACGGGCCGGGCUGGGCUUGAGCUUUAGUUGUUACUCAACUAUUAAUUUUUUCGAUUUAGUUGUUAACCUUUUCAAAAGUAAAUAUUUUAGUCAGUCUCCUAUUAGUUGUUGUUAAAUGAGUGACGGAAAGCUAAUGUGAGCUUUUUUUAUUAGUCUAAUAACAAAUUUAGCCCUCCAAUGUUUACACAUUCUAUCAAUUUGAUCGUAAAUAUAAAAAAAAAAUCAACAAAUUUAGCCCUGAAUAUUAACAAAACUUGUCAUUUUAGUUCAAAUUCUAAAAAAUUUAAUAAAUUUAACCUUUAAUAUUUUCAAAAAAAUAGCAAUUUAGUUCUAAUUCUAAAAAUUUUAAUAUAUAUAUUUAAAAAAAUAUUUCUAAUCCUCUGUCUCACCCUUUGAUUUUUUAGAUGAGCUAAAAUCAAAAUAUAUCAUUAUGUCUUUUUGUUUUAAUGCUAAAAGAGAUAAAAAAAAAUGGAAAGCUAAAAUGGCUUUUCGUUUGUGAAGUUAAAAAAUGCCAAAUAAAUUAUUAUGUCUUUUUAGUUUUAAUUUUUUACUUGAUUAAAAGAGAAAUAAUUAACGAAUGAAAAAUAAUUAUUCACAAAUAAAUUUAUCAGAAUUUAUAACAAAUGAGAUUUUAAAUUUGAAUUUAUAAAUCAAAAUUUAUAUAUAUAUAUAUAUAUAUAUAUAUAUAAAAGAAAACACAUUUUUAUGAAAUAUAAGAUUUUGUUAAAAGAAAGAGCAUAUAAAAGCAUACACGUUUUUAUGAAAUACAAGAUUUUGCUAAAAGAAAAAGCAUCCAAUUUUAAGAAUGAAAAAUAUGUGGUAAAAGCAUCCAUAACUUUUCAAUGUAAAAGAAAAAAAAACUGUAACACCAAUGUUGUGGUAUUAUUUGUUGCCUAUAAAUACCAUUCCUAUCCUUCAUCUUCCUCUACCAACAUAACAUGGCCUCCUCCUAUCUCUUUCUCUUUCUCUGCCUAUUCCUCUUCUUUCCCCAUCUUUAUGCUUCUUUUUCUUCUUCAGGAUCUCACUCCUGCUCUUCACUAAUCCAGUUUAAGGACUCUUUUUCCAUAACAGAGGAUGCUUCUUCUGAUUGCAAUGAGAUUGCUGGCCAUAAAUUUUAUCCCAAGACCAAUUCAUGGAAGGAGGGUACAGAUUGCUGCUCAUGGGAUGGGGUCACUUGCGACCACCUAAAUGCUCAUGUUAUUGCCCUUGACUUGAGCUGCAGUUGGCUAUAUGGCAACUUCCCUUCCAAUUCCACUCUCUUCCUUCUUCCUCACCUUCAAAAACUCAACCUUGCCUACAAUUAUUUUAAUCUUUCCAAAAUUCCAUCCGAGUUCGGUCGGUUUACAAGCCUAUUCUACCUCAACCUUUCUUAUACAUGGUUUGCAGGAGAAGUCCCAUCCCAAGUCUCCCACCUGUCAAAAUUGGUUUCACUUGAUCUCUCCUUUUGGAUUGAUAACUAUGAGCAACUUACAAUUGACAAACAUGCUCUGGAGGGACUUGUUCACAACCUAACCGAGGUCAGACAUCUGUUUUUGGAUGGAAUCAACAUGACUUCUGUUAAUGCUCAUGUCUUCAUGAAUCUAUCCUCUUCUCUAAGAUCUCUCAGUCUUGCUGGUUGUGAUUUGCAAGGAAAAUUCCCAAAAAACAUUUUUGAUUUGCCAAACCUCAAUCUCCUCAACUUGGGAGGCAACCAAUUGAGUGGACAAAUUCCAAGAUCAUUGGGGAACCUCUUGCAACUCACUGUUUUAGACUUGUGGGGGAACAAAUUGAGUGGACAAAUUCCAUUGUCAAUUCUAAACCUAACGCAGUUGGAAUACUUGGUAAUAUCUGAAAAUUCUUUAGAAGGUUCUAUUCCAGAUGAGGUAACCGCUGUUCCGAAUCUAAUAUAUUUAGUCUUAUAUGACAAUUUACUCAAUGGAACACUUCCGUCAUGGUUGUAUACUGCUCCCUCCUUAAAGGGUAUAAUUCUCUCUCAAAAUCAAUUCAGUGGGCAUAUCAAAGAAUUCCAAACCAAAUCACUAGAAUAUUUAGAUCUAGAAAAUAAUAAACUCCAAGGUCCCCUUCCAUCUUCAAUAUUCCAACUUCUCAAUCUUACCGGGCUCCUUUUAUCCUCAAAUAAUCUUAGUGGUGUCAUAGAGUUUCGCAUGUUCUCAAACCUUCCAAAUCUCAAAUAUCUUUACCUUUCAUAUAACAACCUAUCCUUAACAUCUAAUUCUACUUCUACUGUUAAUCAUAUAUUGCCUAAUCUUACAGACGUACUUUUGUCAUCUUGCAAUCUUAGUGAAUUCCCCCAGUUUUUAAAAGGGCUUAAAAGUUUGGAAAGCUUAGACCUCUCUUGCAACAAAAUUGAAGGCAAGAUUCCACAGUGGAUGCAAGAGGUGGGGAAUGUCUCUUUGACUUACUUCAACGUAUCUCACAACUCUUUGACAGAAGUUGAGCACUUUCCAUGGAAGAAUAUUGAAAGGCUUGACUUAAGCUCCAAUUUGAUCAGUGGAAAUCUUCCGAUUCCAGCUUCGACCAUCAGUGUCUUUUUUAUCUCAAAUAAUAGUUUCAAUGGAGAGGUCUCUUCUUUAAUAUGCAAUGCCAGUUCUCUUCGAAUUCUUGAUUUGUCCCACAAUAACUUGAGUGGACCAAUUCCGCAAUGUUUUGGAAAUUUGAGUGACAGCCUUGAAAUCUUGAAUCUGAAGAAGAACAAGUUCUAUGGGACGAUUCCUCCAAAAUUUGCAAAGGGAUGCCGAUUGACUAAUUUCAACUUAAAUGGAAAUCUGUUAGAAGGGCCAUUGACUCCAUCCAUCCUUAAUUGUAGGGGUCUGGAAGUGCUAGAUCUUGGUAACAACAAGAUCAAUGAUACAUUUCCUCAUUGGUUGGGAAGUCUUCCACAGCUACAAGUUCUUGUAUUGAAGUCAAAUCAUAUGCAUGGUUCCUUAUGUGUCAAUAGCUCUAAGUCUAGCCCUUUUUUCUCUAAAAUCCAAAUUUUUGACCUCUCAAGUAACUAUUUUUCUGGACCCCUACCAGUGAGAUACAUCAACAGCUUCAAGGCUAUCAUAAAUGUAGAGAAGAUUGGUAGUACAGUGUCGUACAUGGGGGUGAAUGAUGAUGGAGGUGACUUCUAUACCUAUUCCAUUGGAAUUGUCAUGAAAGGGAGAGAUAUGGAAUUGGUGAAAAUUUUCACCAUGUGGAUGAUCAUUGAUCUAUCAAACAAUCAGUUUGAAGGGGGUAUUCCAGAGGUUUUUGGGAAGCUUAACUUACUGAAAGGGCUCAACCUUUCUCAUAAUAACCUUAAUGGUGGUAUCCCCACCUUAAUAGGGAAUUUGACAAGUCUUGAAUGGUUGGACCUAUCUUCAAACAGGUUGUCUGGGACGAUUCCAAAUAGAUUGGCAGAUCUGCCAUUUCUUUCGUCCUUCAAUGUUUCUGAAAAUCAACUCCAUGGUCAGAUUCCUCAAGGCAAACAGUUCAACACAUUUGGAAAUGAUUCAUAUGAAGGAAACAAGGCAUUAUGUGGAUUUCCGGUCUCAAAAGGUUGCAACAUCAUUGAGCCAGCACCUCCAAAUGUGCUUGAAAAAGAUGGCUCAAAAUCAAACAUUACUUUUGGUUGGAAAGUGGUGUUGAUAGGUUAUGGAUGCGGAGUGGUGUUCGGAAUGUCCGUGGGAUAUGUUGUUUUCCAAACUGGUAAGCCGAAAUGGUUGGUGAAUUUGGUUGAAAUCCAACAUGAGAAGAAGCGAAGAAGAAAGUCAAAGGAUGGCAGUCGCAGCAAUGGACGAAGAAGAAUCUAGUUAGUGGAAAUGAUGUUCAAGUGUUGAUGUUGUAUCUUCAUAAUUUCUUGUUUUGAAGUCUGUCAAAUUUUUUUCCUAUCGUGAAAGGCUGCAUUGCCAUGCAUCUGUCUUUUUUAUUGUAACCAUUCAUCUAUAUUUCAUUGCAUUACGUAGUAUUUGUAAGGGUUUGUUUUAAAUGUAACAUUUUGUAUGGUUCAACUAUUUAUGUCUCUUUCAUGAGUUUCAUUUUUGAGUCUCAAUAAUCUCUGCAUUCAAGAUUUUGUCAGCUUAUUAAUUGGUGGAUCAAUAAUCUUCAUGCUCAUCUCAUCAUCUUUUUCUCGAGUUAAACACAGUCACUACUAUAAUAAUUUCUUCUGUGUGGAAAAUAAUUUGGCAUUCUGCAAAUUUCCACAAUGCUUGUGGAUUACCUCUGGUUGACGGCUAUACAUAUAAAGGAAGGAAACAAGACUAUGUCAAAAUUUCCAAAAAUCAGUCAUUCAUUUUUGAACAAUUAAACAUUCCUAUUCUAUUUUUCAAAAUUGUAAAUCCUCAAAUAAUGUAAAUUAGUCCUAAAACUCAAGUUUUGAAAUCUUUACAAUUUAACCCCUUAUAGUUUCAAACUUUACUAUUUUAUGCUCAACUUUCUAAAUCUUCAUAUUUCAUGAUCAUAUAAUUUAGUUAUUACAUCAAUAUUUCAGAUUUCACUACUCAAACCCUUACUUCAUUUUGGUCCUUACUUCAAUUUUUUCAAAUUAAAUCAAUUUUCAAUUUGACUGCAUUGAUGUGAAAUUGAGGGAGCACUAAACAAUGUUGAUGCGAGUUUAGGUAAAAUUGGUGGAUCCCAUCUCCUUAGUAAUUUCUUUAUGGAAGUAGCUGCUUUCACACUGCAAACUUGAAUAGUUUGUGGUGGACGAUGAUGAAUCAUUUGACAAUCAAACACAUAAUUUUUAAACACAAAAUUAACGAUAUUUUGAAAUCAUUAUUGAAAUUAUAAUCAAAAUUAAUACAUGUUCUUUUUAUUAGCUUAAGGUCGUAAAAACCCUUCAAAAUUUUCAAAAAAAAAAAAAAUUUAAGUCCCUCUUUUUUUUUUUCUAAUUUUUAAUAAAAGUAGGGGCUUAAUUGCUUUUUUUUUUUUAAGUUUGAGGGUCUUUUUGAUGCAUUUUGAAAGUUCAAGUACCCAAUUGAGUGCAAGAAGAAAGUAGGGGCUUAAUUGCUUUUUUUUAUGUAUUUUGAACGUUCAUGUACCCAAAUGAGUGCAUAAAAAAAACAGGGGUUUAGUUGCUAUUUUUGAAAAGGGUUUGAGGGCUUUUUGCACCCUUAAACCUCUUUUCUUUUUCUAAAUUUAAUUUAGAACCAACUUUGAGUAAAGACUUGGGAAAUUUAAUUAGCAAAAUUUCUUUCCAUGUAAAUAUUUCCCCUAUUUCUUGUUGGAAUUUAAAGCAAUACAAUAUUUUUGUAGCUAGUAACAGAAAACGACAGUCAAUUAAUUCCAAGCAAUACAAAAUAUCCAGUCUGGUGGAAAAUUUGUUUGUUAGAUUCUAUUAUUCAACUUUUAAGGCAUAAGUCUGAAUAUAGGGACUAAAUUUUUAAAGUGUUGUUUAUUUUAAAAUCUAUUAAUAUAUACACACUUAGGGACCAUAUAUAUAUAUAUCAUAUAUAUAUAUAUAUAUUCCAUUCUGGAUCUUUGUCGUGUUUUGUUGGUUGGCUCUGGCCUUGUUGUUGUUUCCACUGCCUGUGGUCUCUGUUUCUAAGUCAUAUGUGGCCUUGUUUGCUAGACCUUAGUUGCUCUUCACAUGUCUUGUAUUUUGUCAAGUUAAUUGAAAUGGAAAAUAAAAGUGUUGGCAUUACAGAUUAGAGUAAAAGGAAUUAGUGUUGAAGUUGGGGUUGUUCAAUUGUUGGAAUUCAUGUGUGUAUUUUUUUGAGUAUCUGGGUCUUUGUCGUGUUUUCUUGGUUGGCUAUGGCGGCCUUCUUGUUGUUCCCACUGUCUGUGGUAUUUGUUUCUAAGUCAUAUGUGGCCUUGUAUGCUAGACCUUAGUUGCUAAGUUAAAGGGAGUGAAUAGAGCACCAUAUUUCUUCUUCUGCGUGGAAAAUAAGUUGGCAUUAUGCCAAUUUCCACAUUCAUACAUAUAAAGGAAGCAAGAGCAAGUCAAUAUACUUUGUAAUCUCAUCAAUUCUUCUUCUUUCUUUAGGGAGUUCAAAUGAAAUACAAAUUUUUGGUAAAUCAACUCUUCAUUUUUAUGAAUAAAAAUUAUAUGGUAGAAAGGAAGUGGUGUUAAUAAUAAUAAUAAUAAUAAAAAGAUUAACAAUAGAACACUAAUAAAGCAAUUUAGUCUAUGAUCUGCACAAUAUAUUACUACAAAUGUACCGUACAGAAUAUUGAAAGAAAACUAAUAAAGAAGUUCGAAAUUUAAACAAUGUUCCGCAAAUUAUGUUUAUGAUCUGCUGUAAAUUGAUAUGUUAAAUCAACUCUUCAUUUUUAUGAAUAAAAAUUAUAUGGUAAAAAGGAAGUGGUGUUAAUAAUAAUAAUAAAGAUCAACAAUAGAAAACUAAUAAAGCAAUUUAGUCUAUGAUCUGCAUAAUAUAUUACUACAAAUGUACCGUACAGAAUAUUGAAAGAAAACUAAUAAAGAAAUCCGAAAUUUUAACAAGGUUCCGCAAAUUAUGUUUAUGAUAUGAUGUAAAUUGAUAUGUCAAAUUUUGUGGCAAGUAAUAGAAAAUGACAAAUUCCACAUUCAUACAUAUAAAGGAAGCAAGAUCAAGUCAAUAUACUUUGUAAUCUCAUCACUUCUUCUUCUUUCUUUAGGGAGUUCAAAUGAAAUACAAAAUUUUGGUAAAUCAACUCUUCAUUUUUAUGAAUAAAAAUUAUAUGGUAAAAGGAAGUCUUGUUAAUAAUAAUAAUAAGAUUAACAAUAGAAAACUAAUAAAACAAUUUAUCCAAAUAUCAAAAUAAAUAUUAACUUUUUCAGAAACCAAAAUUAUUUUCUAAAAAUUAUUUUUUAAAAACUAUUUUUAGUGAAACAAACUGAGUCUUAGCCCAUAUUGUAAAUUAUUUUGUGGGUCUGGAAUUCUUGUACAUUAUGCUGCAAAAGAGUGAAAUUUCCUUACAGCUAGUCGAUCAAGUUUGGUUGAAAUUGAAUGCAUUGAUGUGAAAUUGAGGGAGCCUAAACAAUGUUGAUGCGAGUUUAGGUAAAAUUAGUGGAUCCCAUCUCCUUAGUAAUUUCUUUAAGGAAGUAUCUGCUUUCACACUGUGUUGACAACUUCCCACAGAUCAAAGGCCUGCAGGUAAGUCUUCAUAUUUACCAGCCAUAUGUGAAAACCUUCUCCAUUGAAGACUGGUGGGACUGCUGGUGAAAAUCCUGAAGAAGCCAUCAGGUUUCUUGAUUUGAAGCAACAGGUCCACUAAGAAAAGGGCUCUAGAUACCAAUUGUUGGUGUAAAAGGGCAGAAGCAAACUGAUUUAAGCUUGCUUAUACAGCAAGCCUCGAGCCUUGUAGAAGAAACAAUCUCAGCAGAAAGCAAAAAUGAAGCUUGCAGUUGGAAAAACAAGAAAACAAGGAGAGAAUUUGAAUGAAAAACAAGCUGAGUUGUUCAUUAACAUUACAACAAGGCAUAUUGCCAUUACAUAUAUCAGUUAACUUGUCAAAUAAACAAGUAAUCACCUAAUCAAUUACCUAACACCACUAAUAUGCAUUGAAACUUACAAAAUUAGCUUGCAAACAUUACAUUGCUGAUAUUUCAGUCAAUCAACAUCAAAAUUACACCAAAACAUUCACCUGCUUAGUUCAAUGUGAACUAGAUUACAAAAUGAUUAAAAUACAACUAAAACAACAAGUGGUUCAGUAACUUGAAGCUUCAGCUGCUGCACACCAUGGCUCGAUUGCCUGCUGCCAUUUCUUCUUGCAUGGCCACCUUUGCAUGGGAACUAAACUCAACAUACACGAACUAAUGCAAAUAUGCUAGUGGUUUAUUUUCCACCUAUCUGAUUUUUUAAAAUGUUCUUCAGUUACACCAGUUGAUGCAAUCUAUUAUUACCUGCCUCGUUGCAAAAAGGUUAGGAAAUAAAUUCACCGACAAUCAUUGGGAACUAAGAAACUUCGCAGCAAAGCUAGUGGCAUCAAUAUGCAAAAGGUGAAGAUUCUUUUCUUUUGGACUUAUACAUGCAUAUUCGUUUUUAUGAAUUUCAGGUGUCUGAGUUUUUAGUUAUAAACUUGGAUCUAUUCUUCAAAUCAUGUGUAUAUCAUUUUUAUGCUAUUUCACACUUGCAAAACAAAUGGUGCGAGCGUGCAUGUUAUAUGCAGAAUACAUAGAUUAAUUACAUGUGGAUCAUUAAGCAUGCCUAUGUUUGACGAUUGUGUGUGGCUACCUUUUUUUACAUGAUCCAAUUUUCGAUAUGCUUUGCUUUUAGGUUGAAUGCGGAAAAGAUUAGAACUUAAUUUCCAGCAUAAUGAUUUGUCUUGGAUAUGCAGAUUUUACAUGCAUUUCUUACAAGUCAAUAUUUUAUAGAUUUGGGCAUGUUUAUCACAAUCUUCAGCCACGUGUGACAAGGACACUGCUCCACGCUUUUUUGGACCCAACGAAAACAUUUCCCCAGUAUUACGGAGCAAUUCAAGGGUUAGCAGCCCUUGGACCCAGUGUGGUAUAAUUCUAAUCUCAAAUAUUUACUAGCAACACAAUAAGAUACUUGUUUGUGGGAUCAAUUGGUCAAAGAUAUUGCAAUGAUAGCCAUCUUUUUAAGCCCAUUUCUUUCAGAAAACUGUUUUGUCACUCUUUUCUGCAAGAUCCGAAGAAAGAAAGAACAUGGAAAUCUUUAGUCCAAAAGUGUAAAUAUGCGGUUUCUCUAUAGCUAUCUUGAUUAUGGCAUCUGUAAAGUUUGUCUUUCAUAUGUUUGGCUAACGCUUCUUCAUCCAUAUGUAGGUUCGUUUACUUAUACUACCAAACCUUGAAGCGUAUUUGCAGCUUCAUGAACCUGAAAUAAAAAGACACGAGGCCUGGUGUUUUUAUGGGGCCCUGCUGGUAAGUUUAACAUCAAAUUUGGUACCAGUUUACGAGCAUCAUUUCAUUUAUUUGCUAUAGAACUAACAACACUGCAUAAAAUUUCCACUAAAAGCGUGCAGCUGGACUGUGCAUGUAUGAUCGGCUUAAAAUGUUCCCCAGUUUGCUAGCACCCCCAACUCGGCCCGUCUGGAAAAGCAACAACAAAGUUGCGACAAGUAUGAUUUCUUCGAACCAUCAUAUUUACACUUAAUCCACAGGUCUCUUCUCCCCCUUUACGAUUUUCCUUUUUCUGAUCAAUCAAGAUAAACGAAAAGCAAGCACGGACGCCUUGAUGCAGCAGCAACCACCUGCGAAGAAAAUAGCAACUGAGAGUGCAAUAGGUAUGAUGCCAAUAAAUUCCAUGCAAACUGAUUUACAAGGGGCAGUUAGCAGCUUUUCUACCACCGUAGGAGGUUCCAAUAUCGGUGUAUCAUCAAUGUCACGGCCGUUAUCAAACGAUAACAUGCUAGGAAGGGAGGUUGGGGGUCGAGUUUCAAGGACAUCAACCGUUCUAGCUCAGGCUUGGAAGGAAGACACAGACCCAGGGAACUUGUUAGCAUCAUUAUUUGAACUUUUUGGUGAAAGUAUGUAAUUAAAAUAAUAUAUUGGCUUAACCCUCCUAAAUUAUGUAUUUUUUUCCAUCUUGGGACCUAAAUUUUUUUGGGGUCAUAAGUGGUACCUAAACUACAUUUUUUCUCCUUCAAAUUAGUAUCUUCAUUAAUUAAACCGUUAAGUCUAUUUAAAAAAGAAAGACUCGAACAACAAAUUAAUACCUAAACAGUGCUCUUUUUCUCAAGGUACCUAAUUUUUAUUUUGGCCAUAAGUACUACUAAAACUAUUCUUCCGUUACUCAUUUUACACCAAAAUGUUAUAUCGGCUGAAAAGAUUCCAACAAAUAAUAGAUUGUAUGUUAUAUAAACUUUUAAAAAUAAUUAUUAUUUAAUUAAUUUUUUAUAUUUUUCUUUCUUAUUCCUUUCUAAUGUUUGGCAAUGCUGAUAAUGUUUGAAAUUGUCCCACUUGAGGUCAAAAUACUGGUGAUUAAUUUUGGUUUUGAAUUUCACCACCUACUUCUUUGACCUAAGGGGAUAGAAAAUGUUCUUUUAUCGAUCAAAACUAGUAUUUUCAAAAACAGAUUGAUUCAACUGGUUGGAUAGGAAAUCGGUCUGGAAAUAAGGGUUGAAUCGAUUGACUUGCGACCAAAAACAAAUCAGUUGAACUAAGUUAAAAAAACUGGUUGAACUAGUUCUCUCCAUUUAUAUAUAUAUAAAUAAUAAUAGUCUUUUUUUGUACUAUAUGUCAAUUUUUAAUUGGUUAAUUUUUUUUUUCAUAUAAACUGAACGGUUUGACUAAUGACGGAGGUACCAAAUUAUAGUCUAGGUACCAAUUCAUGGGUUAAGCCUAUUUCUACAAUAGACUUUUGACUAAUGGCGGUAGUAACUUGGGAAAAAAAAAGUAGUUUAUGUACCACUUGUGACAAAAAAUAAGUUUAGGUACUAUCAUGGGAAAAUGAGUAUAAUUUAGAUACUAAUUUAUGAGUUAAGCCUAAUAUAUUUGCCACAUCAUUUUUUGAAAAUAACAGAACUUAAUAAAUUUAACGGUUAUUAUUUGAUGAUGACUAAAAUUUUUAAAUUUGAAAAGUACAUGAACUAAAAAUGACCAAAUUAAAGUAUAAAGAUUAAGUCCACAACUUUUGCAAAGUACAAGGACUAAUAGCAGAAAUUAACCUAAAUUUCAUAUGGGUCAAUUACAAUAAUAAUCACUAAACUAUUCCUUUGGUUCUAUUCUAGUCACUCAACUAUAGAGCUGCUCAUGAGCCGGGCCAGGUUAGGCCUAAGCAUGAUAUUAACGUACUUUAUGCUUGCUCAAGCUUGGCUCGGCCCGAAAUAUGAGCUUAAAAUUUCGCCUAAACUCAUCAAUAUUUGCAAAAGACUAACCCAAGCUCAUUUUAGGCAUGCCCAUAUAAUUUUUAGUUUUUUUUUUUUAAAUAUUUAUAUUAUAUUAUUUUAAGAAUUAAUAAUUUGAACUAUAGUAUUAUUAUAUAUUUAGUAUAAGUUUAUUUUUUAAUCUGUUCUAAAUUAUAUAAUAUAAAAUAUUAUACACUUAAAAACGGGCCGGGCUGGGCUCGAGCUUUAAAUGUUCAAGUCUUAACCCGGCCCAUAUUUUAAACGGGCUUAAUUUUUUUACCAAAACCCAAUUUUCGGGCCUAAUUUUUUUACUCAGACCCUCCCAAAUUUUGGGCUGCCCUUGGGCUUUGGCAAGUAGCCCAACUCAUGAACAAGUUUACUCAACUAUUAAUUUUUUCGAUUUAGUUGUUAACCUUUUCGAAAGUAAAUAUUUUAGUCAUUCUCCUAUUAGUUGUUGUUAAACGAGUGACGGAAAGCUGAUGUGGGCUUUUUUUAUUAGUCUAAUAACAAAUUUAGCCCUCCAAUGUUUACACAUUCUAUCAAUUUGAUCCUAGAUAUAAAAAAAUCAACAAAUUUAGCCCUGAAUGUUAACAAAACUUGUCAUUUUAGUUCAAAUUCUAAAAAAUUUAAUAAAUUUAACCCUUAAUAUUUUCAAAAAUUAGCAAUUUAGUUCUAAUUCUAAAAAUUUUAAUAUAUAUAUUUAAAAAAAUAUUUUUAAUCAUCUGUCUCACCCUUUGAUUUUUUAGAUGAGCUAAAAUCAAAAUGAGAUAAAAAAAAAUAAAAAGUUAAAAUGACUUUUCGUUUGUAAAGUUAAAAAAUGCUAAAUAAAUCAUUAUGUCUUUUUAGUUUUAAUUUUUUACUUGAUUAAAAGAGAAAUAAUUAACAAAUGAAAAAUAAUUAUUUCUAUAUAAAUUUAUCAAAAUUUAUAACAAAUGAUAUUUUAGAUUUGAAUUAUCAGACUAUAUAUAUAUAAGUAUACACAUUUUUAUGAAAUAAAAGAUUUUGCUAAAAGAAAAAGCAUCCAAUUUUAAGAAUGAAAAAUAUAUGGUAAAAGCAUCCAUAACUUUUCAAUGUUAAAGACAAAAAAGACUGUAACACCAAUGUUGUGGUAUUAUUUGUUGCCUAUAAAUACCAUUCCUAUCCUUCUUCUUCCUCUACCAACAUAACAUGGCCUCCUAUCUCUUUCUCUCCCUAUUCCUCUUCUUUCUCCAUCUUUAUGCUUCUUUUUCUUCUUCAGGAUCUCACUCCUGCUCUUCACUAAUCCAGUUUAAGGACUCCUUUUCCAUAAGAGAGGAUGCUUCUUUUGAUCAUUGCGAUUAUUUUGCUGGCCUUAAAUCUUAUCCCAAGACAAAUUCAUGGAAGGAGGGUACAGAUUGCUGCUCAUGGGAUGGGGUCACUUGUGACCACCUAAAUGCUCAUGUUAUUGCCCUUGACUUGAGCUGCAGUUGGCUAUAUGGCACCUUCCCUUCCAAUACCACUCUCUUCCUUCUUCCUCACCUUCAAAAACUCAACCUUGCCUACAAUGAUUUUAAUUCUUCCAAAAUUCCAUCCGAGUUCGGUCGGUUUACAAGCCUAUUCUACCUCAACCUUUCCAAUACAUGGUUUUCAGAAGUCCCAUCCCAAGUCUCCCACCUGUCAAAAUUGGUUUCACUUGAUCUUUCUGGGUUUGAUGAACUAUUAACAAUUGACAAAUAUGCUCUGGAGGGUCUUGUUCACAACCUAACCGAGGUCAGACGUCUGUUUUUGGAUGAAAUGGACAUGUCUUCAGUUAAUGCUCAUGUCUUCAUGAAUCUAUCCUCUUCUCUAAGGUCUCUCAGUCUUGUUGGUUGUGAUUUGCAAGGAAAAUUCCCAAAAAACAUUUUUGAUUUGCCAAACCUCAAUCUCCUCAACUUGGGAGGCAACCAAAACCUCAAUCUUGAUCCUUUGAAGUUCAAUCGGAGCAGCAAUCUUGAACAAUUGAUAAUUUCAGACGCAAAUAUUUGUGGAGGAUUGCCUGACUCGAUGGGGAAUCUUGUGUCCUUGAAGUUUUUAGUUCUCUCCCAUUCCAACUUAUCAGGACUGGUUCCAAGAUCACUGGGGAAUCUCUUGAAACUCACUCAUUUAGACUUGUCGGAGAACCAAUUGAGUGGACAAAUUCCAAGAAAAUUGGGGAACCUCUUGCAACUCACUCAUUUAGACUUGUCGAAGAACCAAUUGAGUGGACAAAUUCCAAGAUCAUUAGGGAACCUCUUGCAACUCACUCAUUUAGACUUGUGGCUGAACCAAUUGAGUGGACAGAUUCCAAGAUCAUUGGGGAACCUCUUGCAACUCACUGUUUUAGACUUGGGAUGGAACAAAUUGAGUGGACAAAUUCCAUUGUCAAUUCUAAACCUAACGCAGCUGGAAUACUUGACAAUAUCUAACAAUUCUUUAGAAGGUUCCAUUCCAGAUGAGGUAACCGCUUUUCAUAAUCUAAUAUAUUUAGACUUAUCUGACAAUUUACUCAAUGGAACACUGCCGUCAUGGUUGUAUACUGCUCCCUCCUUAAAGACAAUAUAUCUCUCUCAAAAUCAAUUCAGUGGGCAUAUCAAAGAAUUCCAAUCCAAAUCACUAGAAUGGAUAUGGUUAGAGAAUAAUAAACUCCAAGGUCCUCUUCCAUCUUCAAUAUUCCAACUUCUCAAUCUUACCCAACUUAGCUUAUCCUCAAAUUAUCUUAGUGGUGUCAUAGAGUUUCGCAUGUUCUCAAACCUUCCAAAUCUCGAAUAUCUUGACCUUUCAUAUAACAGCCUAUCCUUAACAUCUAAUACAACUUCUACUGUUAAUCUUACAAGCUUAUUUUUGUCAUCUUGCAAUCUUAGUGAAUUCCCCCAAUUUUUAAAAGGGCUUAAAAGUUUGGAAAGCUUAGACCUCUCUUGCAACAAAAUUGAAGGCAAGAUUCCACAGUGGAUGCGAGAGGUGGGGAAUGGCUCUUUGACUCACUUAAAUGUAUCUCACAACACUUUGACAGAAGUUGAGCACUUUCCAUGGAAGAAUAUUGAUGUUCUUGACUUAAGCUCCAAUUUGAUCAGUGGAAAUCUUCCGAUUCCAGCUUCGACCAUAAGAGUCUUUUUGAUCUCAAAUAAUAGUUUCAAUGGAGAGGUCUCUUCUUUAAUAUGCAAUGCCGCUUUUCUUGAAAUUCUUGAUUUGUCCCACAAUAACUUGAGUGGAACAAUUCCACAAUGUUUUGGAAAUUUGAGCAACAGCCUUCUAUUCUUGAAUCUGAAGAAGAACAAGUUUUAUGGGACGAUUCCUCCAGCAUUUGCAAAGGGAUGCCGAUUGAGUAAUUUCAACUUAAAUGGAAAUCUGUUAGAAGGGCCUUUGACACCAUCCAUGAUCCAUCCUUAAUUGUAAUGGUCUGGAAGUGCUAGAUCUUGGUAACAACAAGAUCAAUGAUACAUUUCCUCAUUGGUUGGGAAGUCUUCCACAGCUACAAGUUCUUGUAUUGAAGUCAAAUCAACUGCAUGGUUCCUUAUGUGUCAAUAGCUCCAAGUCUAUCCCUUUUUUCUCUAAAAUCCAAAUUUUUGAUCUCUCAAGUAAUUAUUUUUCUGGACCCCUACCAGUGAGAUACAUCAACAGCUUCAAGGCUAUCAUAAAUCUAGAGAAGAUUGGGAGUACAAUGUCGUACAUGGGGGUGUAUGCUCAGAGAGGUAGUGCCUUCUAUACCCAUUCCAUUGGAAUUGUUAUGAAAGGACAAGAUAGGGAAUUGGUGAAAAUUUUCACCAUGUGGAUGAUCAUUGAUCUAUCAAACAAUCAGUUUCAAGGGGGUAUUCCAAAGGUUAUUGUGAAGCUUAACUUGCUGAAAGGGCUCAACCUUUCUCAUAAUAACCUUAAUGGUGGUAUCCCCACCUCAAUAGGGAAUUUGACAAGUCUUGAAUGGUUAGACCUAUCUUCAAACAGUUUGUCUGGGACGAUUCCAAAUAGAUUGGCAGAUCUGCCAUUUCUUUCGUCCUUCAAUGUUUCUGAAAAUCAACUCCAUUGUCAGAUUCCUCAAGGCAAACAGUUCAACACAUUUGGAAAUGAUUCAUAUGAAGGAAACAAGGGAUUAUGUGGAUUUCCGGUCUCAAAAGGUUGCAACAUCAUUGAGCCAGCACCUCUAAAUGUGCUUGAAAAAGAUGGCUCAAAAUCAAACAUUACUUUUGGUUGGAAAGUGGUGUUGAUAGGUUAUGGAUGCGGAGUGGUGUUCGGAAUGUCCGUGGGAUAUGUUGUUUUCCAAACUGGUAAGCCGAAAUGGUUGGUGAAUUUGGUUGAAAUCCAACAUGAGAAGAAGCGAAGAAGAAAGUCAAAGGAUGGCAGUCGCAGCAAUGGAUGAAGAAGGAUCUAGUUAGUGGAAAUGAUGUUCAAGUGUUGAUGUUGUAUCUUCAUAAUUUCUUGUUUUGAAGUCUUUCAAUUUUUUUCCUAUGGUGAAAGGUUGCAUUGCCAUGCAUCUGUCUUUACUUUUGUAACAAUUCAUCUGUCAUAAUAUUAUAGAUUUUAUUGAUUUUAAUUUUUUCUCUAAUUUUUAAUAAAAAUAGGGGCAUAAUUGCUUUUUUUUUUUAAGUUUGAGAGUAUUUUUUAUGCAUUUUGAAAGUUCAAGUACCAAAUUGAGUGCAAAAAAAAAAAGAGUAGGGGCUUAAUUACUUUUUUUGAAAAUGUUUGAGAGCUUUUUUGAUGUAUCAAAUGAAAUACAAAUUUUGAGUAAAUCAACUAUUCAUUUUUAUGAAUAAAAAUUAUAUGGUAAAAAGGAAGUAGUGUUAAUAAUAAUAAAAAAGAUCAACAAUAGAAAACUAAUAAAGCAAUUUAGCCUAUGAUCUGCGCAAUAUAUUACUACAAAUGUACUGUACAAAAUAUUGAAGAAAACUAAUAAAGAAAUCUGAAAUUUUAACAAGUUCCGCAAAUAAUGUUUAUGAUUUGCUGUAAAUUGAUAUGUCAAAUUAGGCUCUCCAUCACACUUAAAAGUUUAUUUUCGAGCAAUUUAGAUAUCUUUGUUGCGUUUUUAUUUUGUUUUAGUUGUUUAUAUUAAUAAAUGAUUAGUGUGCAUUUUGAUGCUAUUUUAAGACCUGAGAUGGCCAAAUGGCACCCGGGGAAUCUAAUGAGGUUGGUGAGUGAUGCAGAGAGCCCAUGGUGGCCCGGAAGGAACGAAAAUGUUACCUAGAAAGAGGGUAUCGCAUUUCAAAGCAUGAAAGUCGUAAUACCCAUAACAAUGUUAAAAACAAGGAAGAUUGAGCCAUCAACAAUGUUAUCGUGAUACCGGUCAUAAGAUAUCGCGAUACCCAAAACUUCCAAGGAUCCCCCAAGACUGUUGUGGAUAUCGCGAUACCAAACUUUGGGUAUCGCAAUAUCAUUGAUGAGAGGAGACAAAAUAUAACUGUAGGGGUAAUCCUUUUCCAACAUGUGGAAUGGCCAUGGGAUGUGUUGUUUUCCAAACCGGUAAGGCGAAAAGGUUCGUGAAUUUGGCUGAAGACCAACAUGAGAAGAGGCGAAGAAGAAAGCCAAAAUAUAGCAAUCGCAUCAAUGGAUGAAGAAGGAUCUAGUUGGUUCAAAUGAAGUUAAAGCAUUUGUGCUGUGUCUUCAUAAUUUCUUGUUUAGUAGUCUGUCAGAAAGUUUUUCCUAUGGUGAAAAGUUGCAUUGCUAUGUGUCUGUUUUUAUGAUUGUACCAAUUCCUCUGUAUUUCAUUGCAUUUCGUACUAUUUGUAAGGGUUUAGUUCAGUGUAACAUCUUGUAUGGUGCAACUAUGUAUGUCUUCUUUCUUGAAUUUCAACUUUUAGUAAACAUUAUACUGCUCACCAUAAAAAAAAUACAUGUAGAAUUACAAAAGAUUCAAUUAUUCAAGUUUGAGUUGCAUUUAUAAACAUGUGAUGAUGAGAAUUCAUGAACAAAAGGUAUGGUUUGAGCCCUUUUGCAAUAUGCGUUUAUGUUGCAUUUACCUAUAUAUCUAUCGACAAAUUUAAGAGUAAUAUUUACAAUAGCAUUGCAGAGUAACAUAUUUACGAUUGGAUUACACAGUCAAAAGAUUGCAGCAACGAUGAGAUUAAUCCAAUUACAGGAAUUGAUAUCCUAAAUGGCUUUUAGGUACGUAGCUUCAUUGACGGUACAAACUAGUUAAAAUUUCCAGAAUUCAUGUCUUUGUUUUCCCUCAAGUAAACGUAGUCAAUACUGCAAAUGGUGUGGAAGUAUUGUACAUUGUGGCCCAAAUGUCCAAAAUUUCCACAUUGCUUGUAAAUUAAGUGAUGAAAACCAAAACUGUUUGAGGCAUCCAAUUACCCACAGAGAUAGGAAGUAAGGACGCAUGUAUAAUUAUUAUCAUUAAUUAAAGCAUAUAUAAUUACAUUAAAUAUAGGAUAAACUAUAAAAAUAAUCACUUUUAUUUACCUCAUAUUACAUUUUAGUCACUUAUGUUUGAAAUGUUACAUUUUGGUCACUUACGUUAUCGUUUUGGUACGAAGUGGUCACUCUACCGUUAAGCUCCGUUACCUCCCUAACGGCGAUUCUACGUGAUAGUCCAAAUGAGUUUUAAAUGCCAACUUAAAUGUCUUGCGUGGCUGUCUAAAUUAAAUUUAUUUAAUUAAAAACUUAUUUUCAUCUCAACAACCGGACAUUCAAGUUCGCAUUUAAAACCCAUUUAGACUGCCACGUAGGACUGCCGAUAGGGAGGUAACAGAGUUUGAUAGUAGAGUAACCACUUCAUAACAAAACGAUAAUGUAAGUGGCUAAAACAUAACAUUUCAAACAUAAGUAAUUAAAAUAUAAUAUAAGGUAAACAAGCCUUAAAUAUAUAAAUUACUAUGAUUACUAUCAAGAUAGCAUUGACCUGUUCAACAGGCGGAACCAAUAGAUCUGACCAUUUGGUGACUCUAGCAGUCGAUAAGUGUGAGUGGCAGACUGUGCAACUUGUAACUAUGUUAAUUGAUGAAAAGCUUUUUGAUAGAAGAUAAUAAACUAGUGGCAAUGGCAAACGGUUCCAAGACGAGGUGGGACACCGAGGCUUUGUGUAACAGGGGAAUAGAUGCACUCAAUGCUGGCGGCUGUUGACUUGUAUUUCUCUCUAACAAUUUAAAUCACCAGCUUGCUUCAUCCAUCUAUAAAUAAGGGUCUUCUUCAGUUUCAUAAAUGCAUAGAAAAUUAACAAGCUCAAAUUCCUUCUUUUCAUAUUCAUCUCUUUUACUUUGAAUUGCAACUUUAUCCUGCCUAAAUUCCUCAACCAUGAACCACCCAUCAGGACAGCCUCAAAAUGAACUUCCUUGGUCCGCCGGAUUCUGCGAUUGUUGCUCUGACCUGAAAACUUGUAACCCUUUCUUCUUUCUUCAAUAUCAGUUCUGUC